UGCUCAGGUGGCCUUGUGGUUAGAGCGACCGCCUCGGAUGCGGGAGGUCGUGGGUUCGGACCACGGCCGAGUCA
Non-coding RNA from Potamilus streckersoni, 74 nucleotides. NCBI's taxonomy places the organism in Eukaryota, Metazoa, Mollusca, Bivalvia, Unionida, Unionidae. The record is from the annotation of a GenBank genome assembly.